Molecule: ribosomal RNA, 660 nt
Filed under: Tulostoma xerophilum
Lineage: Eukaryota; Fungi; Basidiomycota; Agaricomycetes; Agaricales; Agaricaceae
Description: eukaryotic LSU rRNA
Rfam family: 5.8S ribosomal RNA (bases 271-424)
Source: RNAcentral
AACAAGGUUUCCGUAGGUGAACCUGCGGAAGGAUCAUUAUUGAAUAAACUUGAUGGGUUGUGGCUGGCUUCUAGGAGCAUGUGCACGCCUGUCAUCUUUAUCCAUCCACCUGUGCACCUUUUGUAGUCUUUGGAGCUAAUGAGCGUUGAAGCCGUUGGGGAUCGCUCGAUUUGGCUGAUCGCAAAUUUCUCYAAGACUAUGUAUUUCAUAUACCACUUAGAAUGUAUUAGAACGUUUUUAUUGGGCCUCUGUGCCUAUAAAACAAUAUACAACUUUCAGCAACGGAUCUCUUGGCUCUCGCAUCGAUGAAGAACGCAGCGAAAUGCGAUAAGUAAUGUGAAUUGCAGAAUUCAGUGAAUCAUCGAAUCUUUGAACGCACCUUGCGCUCCUUGGAAUUCCGAGGAGCAUGCCUGUUUGAGUGUCAUUUAAUUCUCAAUCUCCGUCAGCUUUGUGGCUGGACGUGUGGAUUGGAUGUGGGGGUCAUUUUGCGGGCCUCUGAAAGGAGGUCGGCUCCCCUGAAAAGCAUUAGCUGGAACCGUUUGCGGGACUGUCACUGGUGUGAUAACUAUCUACGCCAAAGACAACCGCUCUCUGAUAAGUUCUGCUCCUAAUCRUCCUUUUAGUGGAGACGAACGAUAUCUGAAUGCUUGACCUCAAAUC